This 94-nucleotide microRNA precursor is filed under the name Solanum lycopersicum (tomato). Its description in RNAcentral is "mir-395 microRNA precursor family". It matches the Rfam family "mir-395 microRNA precursor family". From Rfam's summary of the family: mir-395 was identified in both Arabidopsis thaliana and Oryza sativa computationally and was later experimentally verified. mir-395 is thought to target mRNAs coding for ATP sulphurylases. Lineage: Eukaryota; Viridiplantae; Streptophyta; Magnoliopsida; Solanales; Solanaceae. The record is from Rfam by way of RNAcentral. RNAcentral also lists the same sequence under 1 other name.
GUGUUCUCCAGAGUUUCCUUGAACACUUCAUUAGGGAUUAAUUUCUUUGUUUUUACUGCCCUGCUGAAGUGUUUGGGGGAACUCCCGGGUUUAC